UACGUAGGUGGCGAGCGUUGUCCGGAAUUAUUGGGCGUAAAGAGCAUGUAGGCGGCUUAAUAAGUCGAGCGUGAAAAUGCGGGGCUCAACCCCGUAUGGCGCUGGAAACUGUUAGGCUUGAGUGCAGGAGAGGAAAGGGGAAUUCCCAGUGUAGCGGUGAAAUGCGUAGAUAUUGGGAGGAACACCAGUGGCGAAGGCGCCUUUCUGGACUGUGUCUGACGCUGAGAUGCGAAAGCCAGGGUAGCGAACGGGAUUAGAAACCCUUGUAGUGCUGACUGACU
RNAcentral lists this ribosomal RNA (281 nucleotides) under Phascolarctobacterium faecium. Its description in RNAcentral is "partial 16S ribosomal RNA". It matches the Rfam family "Bacterial small subunit ribosomal RNA", at positions 524 to 805 of the family's 1533-position model. The record is from RNAcentral. Lineage: Bacteria; Bacillati; Bacillota; Negativicutes; Acidaminococcales; Acidaminococcaceae.